UACGAAGGGGGCUAGCGUUGCUCGGAAUCACUGGGCGUAAAGGGCGCGUAGGCGGCCAUUCAAGUCGGGGGUGAAAGCCCAGGGCUCAACCCUGGAAUUGCCUUCGAUACUGUUUGGCUAGAGACCGGAAGAGGUAAGUGGAACUGCGAGUGUAGAGGUGAAAUUCGUAGAUAUUCGCAAGAACACCAGUGGCGAAGGCGGCUUACUGGUCCGGUUCUGACGCUGAGGCGCGAAAGCGUGGGGAGCGAACAGG
This 253-nucleotide ribosomal RNA is filed under the name uncultured bacterium. RNAcentral describes it as "partial 16S ribosomal RNA". It matches the Rfam family "Bacterial small subunit ribosomal RNA", at positions 524 to 776 of the family's 1533-position model. The record is from RNAcentral.